ACKGCUCAGUAACACGUGGAUAACCUACCCUUAGGAUUGGGAUAACCCCGGGAAACUGGGGAUAAUACCAGAUACAUGGAGAUACCUGGAAUGGUUCUCCACUUAAAGCUCCGGCGCCUAAGGAUGGAUCUGCGGCAGAUUAGGUUGUUGGCGGGGUAAUGGCUCACCAAGCCUUUUACCGGUGCGGGCCGUGAGAGCGGGAGCCCGGAGAUGGGCACUGAGACAAGGGCCCAGGCCCUACGGGGCGCAGCAGUCGCGAAAACUUUGCAAUACACGAAAGUGUGACAGGGCUAUCCCGAGUGCCAUCCGCUGAGGAAGGCUUUUACCCAGUCUAGAAAGCUGGGGGAAUAAGGAGAGGGCAAGUCUGGUGUCAGCCGCCGCGGUAAUACCAGCUCUCCGAGUGGUGUGGAUGUUUAUUGGGCCUAAAGCAUCCGUAGCUGGCUAAGUUAGUCCCUUGUUAAAUCCACCGAAUUAAUCGUUGGAUCGCGGGGGAUACUGCUUGGCUAGGGGACGAGAGAGGCAGACGGUAUUUUCGGGGUAGGGGUGAAAUCCUAUAAUCCCGGGAAGACCACCAGUGGCGAAGGCUGUCUGCUAGAACGCGCCCGACGGUGGGGGAUGAAAGCUGGGGGAGCGAACCGGAUUAGAUACCCGGGUAGUCCCAGCUGUAAACGAUGCAGGCUAGGUGUUUGGACGGCCACGUGCCGUUCUAGUGCCGCAGGGAAGCUGUUAAGCCUGCCGCCUGGGGAGUACGAUCGCAAGAUUGAAACUUAAAGGAAUUGGCGGGGGAGCAC
RNAcentral lists this ribosomal RNA (791 nucleotides) under uncultured Thermoproteales archaeon. RNAcentral's name for it is "bacterial SSU rRNA". It matches the Rfam family "Archaeal small subunit ribosomal RNA", at positions 85 to 879 of the family's 1478-position model. The record is from RNAcentral. Lineage: Archaea; Thermoproteati; Thermoproteota; Thermoprotei; Thermoproteales.